UCCCUUGCUUUGCAGCAUCCUUCUUGGGAUUCCAGAUUCUAAUGAAGACCAGCUGAGCAGUUGAGACAUCCAGCCUCAUUGACUGACUGAGCAGCUUCUGGAUUCUCAGGCUUUCUGUUCAUAUCUAGCCAUUGUUGGGUUAGCUGGACCACAACCUGAUUUCUCACUGGUUUGGGGAUUGCUGUGUAUGCCAGGAAUCUAUUGGUCUCUAUCUCCCUAGUGUGCGGAUGACAAACAUCAGCCACCGUGACUCGAUCCUUAUGUACACCCUCAAGUCAGAAAUUACACCUAUCCAUAUUUGUAUACCCAAGUCUAAAGAAAUAUCCACUUAUACAUUUUGGAGAAAUUGAUAAGUCAUCUGAUGAU
This is a long non-coding RNA of Acomys russatus (golden spiny mouse), 366 nucleotides long. RefSeq lists it as uncharacterized. The record is from RefSeq and is a predicted model, not a curated record. The transcript is spliced from 3 exons. NCBI's taxonomy places the organism in Eukaryota, Metazoa, Chordata, Mammalia, Rodentia, Muridae.